RNAcentral lists this ribosomal RNA (460 nucleotides) under uncultured bacterium. RNAcentral's name for it is "partial 16S ribosomal RNA". It matches the Rfam family "Bacterial small subunit ribosomal RNA", at positions 338 to 795 of the family's 1533-position model. The record is from RNAcentral.
CCUACGGGAGGCUGCAGUGAGGAAUAUUGGUCAAUGGACGAGAGUCUGAACCAGCCAAGUAGCGUGAAGGAUGACUGCCCUAUGGGUUGUAAACUUCUUUUAUAUGGGAAUAAAAUGUUCCACGUGUGGGAUUUUGUAUGUACCAUAUGAAUAAGGAUCGGCUAACUCCGUGCCAGCAGCCGCGGUAAUACGGAGGAUCCGAGCGUUAUCCGGAUUUAUUGGGUUUAAAGGGAGCGUAGGUGGAUUGUUAAGUCAGUUGUGAAAGUUUGCGGCUCAACCGUAAAAUUGCAGUUGAUACUGGCAGUCUUGAGUACAGUAGAGGUAGGCGGAAUUCGUGGUGUAGCGGUGAAAUGCUUAGAUAUCACGAAGAACUCCGAUUGCGAAGGCAGUUCACUAAACUGCGACUGACACUGAGGCUCGAAAGUGUGGGUAUCAAACAGGAUUAGAUACCCCAGUAGUC